This 253-nucleotide ribosomal RNA is filed under the name uncultured bacterium. Its description in RNAcentral is "partial 16S ribosomal RNA". It matches the Rfam family "Bacterial small subunit ribosomal RNA", at positions 524 to 776 of the family's 1533-position model. The record is from RNAcentral.
UACGUAGGGGGCGAGCGUUGUCCGGAUUCAUUGGGCGUAAAGGGUGCGUAGGCGGCGCGGUAAGUCGGGUGUGAAAUCUCGGAGCUUAACUCCGAAACUGCAUUCGAUACUGCCGUGCUUGAGGACUGGAGAGGAGACUGGAAUUUACGGUGUAGCGGUGAAAUGCGUAGAUAUCUGGAGGAACACCGGUGGCGAAGGCGGCAUCCUGGACCAACACUGACACUGAGGAGCGAAAGCCAGGGGAGCAAACGGG